This 440-nucleotide ribosomal RNA is filed under the name uncultured bacterium. Its description in RNAcentral is "partial 16S ribosomal RNA". It matches the Rfam family "Bacterial small subunit ribosomal RNA", at positions 338 to 795 of the family's 1533-position model. The record is from RNAcentral.
CCUACGGGCGGCUGCAGUGGGGGAUAUUGCACAAUGGGGGAAACCCUGAUGCAGCAACGCCGCGUGAGUGAAGAAGUAUUUCGGUAUGUAAAGCUCUAUCAGCAGGGAAGAGAAUGACGGUACUUGACUAAGAAUCCCCGGCUAAAUACUGGCCAGCAGCCGCGGUAAUACGUAGGGGGCGAGCGUUAUCCGGAUUUACUGGGUGUAAAGGGGGCGUAGACGGCUGGUCAAGUCUGAAGUGAAAGCCCUGGGCUUAACCCCGGAACGGCUUUGGAAACUGGGCAGCUAGAGUGCUGGAGAGGUAGGCGGAAUUCCUAGUGUAGCGGUGAAAUGCGUAGAUAUUAGGAGGAACACCAGUGGCGAAGGCGGCUUACUGGACAGUAACUGACGUUGAGGCGCGAAAGCGUGGGGAGCAAACAGGAUUAGAUACCCGAGUAGUC